CCUACGGGAGGCAGCAGUGGGGGAUAUUGCACAAUGGGGGAAACCCUGAUGCAGCGACGCCGCGUGGGUGAAGAAGCGCCUCGGCGCGUAAAGCCCUGUCAGCAGGGAAGAAAAGGACGGUACCUGAAGAAGAAGCCCUGGCUAACUACGUGCCAGCAGCCGCGGUAAUACGCAGGGGGAAAGCGUUCUCCGGAUUGACUGGGUGUAAAGGGGGCGCAGACGGCGGUGCAAGUCAGGAGUGAAAGCCCGGGGCCCAACCACGGGACUGCACUUGGAACUGGGAGGCUGGAGUGCAGGAGGGGCAGGCGGAAUUCCAGGUGUAGCGGUGAAAUGCGUAGAUAUCAGGAGGAACACCGGUGGCGAAGGCGGCCUGCUGGACUGCAACUGACGUUGAGGCCCGAAAGCGUGGGGAGCAAACAGGAUUAGAUACCCUAGUAGUC
This 440-nucleotide ribosomal RNA is filed under the name uncultured bacterium. RNAcentral describes it as "partial 16S ribosomal RNA". It matches the Rfam family "Bacterial small subunit ribosomal RNA", at positions 338 to 795 of the family's 1533-position model. The record is from RNAcentral.